GACGAACGCUGGCGGCGUGCCUAAUACAUGCAAGUAGAACGCACAGUUUAUACCGUAGCUUGCUACACCAUAGACUGUGAGUUGCGAACGGGUGAGUAACGCGUAGGUAACCUGCCUGGUAGCGGGGGAUAACUAUUGGAAACGAUAGCUAAUACCGCAUAAUAUUGAUUAUUGCAUGAUAAUUGAUUGAAAGAUGCUAUUGCAUCACUACCAGAUGGACCUGCGUUGUAUUAGCUAGUAGGUGAGGUAACGGCUCACCUAGGCGACGAUACAUAGCCGACCUGAGAGGGUGAUCGGCCACACUGGGACUGAGACACGGCCCAGACUCCUACGGGAGGCAGCAGUAGGGAAUCUUCGGCAAUGGACGAAAGUCUGACCGAGCAACGCCGCGUGAGUUAAGAAGGUUUUCGGAUCGUAAAGCUCUGUUGUAAGAGAAGAACGGGUGUGAGAGUGGAAAGUUCACACUGUGACGGUAUCUUACCAGAAAGGGACGGCUAACUACGUG
RNAcentral lists this ribosomal RNA (505 nucleotides) under uncultured bacterium. RNAcentral describes it as "partial 16S ribosomal RNA". It matches the Rfam family "Bacterial small subunit ribosomal RNA", at positions 28 to 507 of the family's 1533-position model. The record is from RNAcentral.